Molecule: ribosomal RNA, 250 nt
Filed under: uncultured bacterium
Lineage: Bacteria
Description: partial 16S ribosomal RNA
Rfam family: Bacterial small subunit ribosomal RNA
Source: RNAcentral
UACGUAGGGUGCAAGCGUUAAUCGGAAUUACUGGGCGUAAAGCGUGCGCAGGCGGUUAUGUAAGACAGGUGUGAAAUCCCAGGGCUUAACCUUGGAACUGCAUUUGUGACUGCAUAGCUAGAGUACGGUAGAGGGGGAUGGAAUUCCGCGUGUAGCAGUGAAAUGCGUAGAUAUGCGGAGGAACACCGAUGGCGAAGGCAAUCCCCUGGACCUGUACUGACGCUCAUGCACGAAAGCGUGGGGAGCAAAC